AGAGUUUGAUCCUGGCUCAGGACGAACGCUGGCGGCGCGCCUAACACAUGCAAGUCGAACGGAGCUUAGAGAGCUUGCUUUUUAAGCUUAGUGGCGAACGGGUGAGUAACGCGUGAGUAACCUGCCCUAGAGUGGGGGACAACAGUUGGAAACGACUGCUAAUACCGCAUAAGCCCACGGUGCCGCAUGACACUGAGGGAAAAGGAUUUAUUCGCUUUAGGAUGGACUCGCGUCCAAUUAGCUAGUUGGUGAGGUAACGGCCCACCAAGGCGACGAUUGGUAGCCGGACUGAGAGGUUGAACGGCCACAUUGGGACUGAGACACGGCCCAGACUCCUACGGGAGGCAGCAGUGGGGGAUAUUGCACAAUGGGGGAAACCCUGAUGCAGCGACGCCGCGUGGAGGAAGAAGGUUUUCGGAUUGUAAACUCCUGUCGUUAGGGACGAUAAUGACGGUACCUAACAAGAAAGCACCGGCUAACUACGUGCCAGCAGCCGCGGUAAAACGUAGGGUGCAAGCGUUGUCCGGAAUUACUGGGUGUAAAGGGAGCGCAGGCGGGAAGACAAGUUGGAAGUGAAAACCAUGGGCUCAACCCAUGAAUUGCUUUCAAAACUGUUUUUCUUGAGUAGUGCAGAGGUAGAUGGAAUUCCCGGUGUAGCGGUGGAAUGCGUAGAUAUCGGGAGGAACACCAGUGGCGAAGGCGGUCUACUGGGCACCAACUGACGCUGAGGCUCGAAAGCAUGGGUAGCAAACAGGAUUAGAUACCCUGGUAGUCCAUGCCGUAAACGAUGAUUACUAGGUGUUGGGGGAUUGACCCCCUCAGUGCCGCAGUUAACACAAUAAGUAAUCCACCUGGGGAGUACGACCGCAAGGUUGAAACUCAAAGGAAUUGACGGGGGCCCGCACAA
This 907-nucleotide ribosomal RNA is filed under the name human gut metagenome. RNAcentral's name for it is "bacterial SSU rRNA". It matches the Rfam family "Bacterial small subunit ribosomal RNA", at positions 8 to 928 of the family's 1533-position model. The record is from RNAcentral.